UGCUUCAUCUACUAGGUUAGCU
RNAcentral lists this microRNA (22 nucleotides) under Ciona intestinalis (vase tunicate). Its description in RNAcentral is "cin-miR-4079-5p". The record is from miRBase by way of RNAcentral. Lineage: Eukaryota; Metazoa; Chordata; Ascidiacea; Phlebobranchia; Cionidae.